RNAcentral lists this transfer RNA (66 nucleotides) under Alpheus digitalis. RNAcentral's name for it is "tRNA-Pro". The record is from RNAcentral. RNAcentral also lists the same sequence under 2 other names. Lineage: Eukaryota; Metazoa; Arthropoda; Malacostraca; Decapoda; Alpheidae.
CAGAAAGUAGUUUAAUUAAAAUAUUAGUUUUGGGGAUUAGUGAUAGGGUUGAUUCCUUCUUUCUGA